AAUCUUUUCCAUUUGUAUGUUUGUUCAGUAUGAAUCUUUUCUCACUCAGAUGAACACAAAAAAUUCAUCUGAAUUUAGAAAAAUUUGACUUCAGAGCAACAUUUUACGUAUAUGUAUACUCUCUAAUAUUGUUGUCCAGUCAUCAGUAGCACUUCCUGCCAAUAUAUUGCAAAUAAUAUAGUAUCAAUAGAUUGUUAAAGAGUAGAUAUUUCCAAAGAAUAAUUAUUAAUUGAAACAAAUGUUUUCAAACUUAAUUCAAAAUUAUUUAACUUGCAUUUAUUAUUGAUUAAAUAUAAAAGUGAAAUUUUAUCACACAAAACAGUUUUGUUCAUCGAACUAAUUAACACUAUUUGCUAAACAUUUUAUUAUUAUUUUUUAAUUUCUAUUACAUAGCAAAGACUUUUGCAGUUUAAAAUUAUUGCAUUGCUCAAUUUAACAUCAAAACAAAGUCAAAUAUACAUUUUUGUUAUGAGGAGUAACUGCAAAGUUUUUGCAUUCAUGCUAGAACAAAAUCCUCCCCCCCCCCUUCCCCCCAUGUAACCUUGCUAAAAAUACUUCCAUUGCUGUGAGUGAAGAUUCGGACAGAGGGCAUUUUCAGCACUUAAAGUUUUUUUGUAAUUUCUUAUUAUAUAUCCAUAACUGUGUAGUUUUCCUCCAAUUUCCAUAGCAAGUACAGAAAUUUUGUAGCUGUUGGAUGAUGCUACUUUUGGAUUUGACUUGAGAAAAUUCAGGCAUGUUUAGAACAUUGAAGAGUGGUGAUGCUUUUGGACAUUGCUCAAAGACUUUUUGGUGAAAAUUAAGCAGUGAUAGUUACUUUUUGAUUUCACUUGAGAAUAUUCUGAUAUAUUGUGUAUAUUGACGAGUGGGUUAGUGUGGGUGAGGCCGACAUGCAAGAGAUGAUCGAUCUAGUGAAUGAGAUGGUUCCGACUAACGAUGCGAGGUUGUUGCCUGUUUAUAAAAGUUUCUUCAGCGAGGAAUUGAAAUCCUUCGCAAGGAAACGAGAUGGACUGCUAUGGUGUUUGCGGAAGAUGGAAGGAAUCCCCUAUCUGAUUGAGUUUGCCAUGACACUAUAUUUCAAAUAUGAUCGACUUAUGUGGCAGAUGGACAAAUGGACCAGAUUAGGGGAACUCGCCAUACAGUUCAUCUAUUCUUCCCCAGGGCCAGAAAGUUGUUUGGGAGAUUGCCCGACCUGUACAGAGCCCUUGCACAGAAAGGUUAUCAAUAGUAAAUUUUUUAGUCUUGCAUAAUAUGGAUUGUUUGCAUUUCCAUUCAGUUAUCAGGUUGACCUGUAAAAGUAAAACUCCGAAUCUUUAGGAUCUAUAUUAGAGAGAGGAUGGGUGAUUUUUAAAAUUUGAUGUUAAAAUAACUGCUUUACAGAACCAGGGGGUGAAAAUUCUUCAGGCAAGCACCUUGUAUAUUGUAAUAAUAAUCACUAGCUUCUCUUUCUUAUGGAAAUAAAAUAUGAUUUUGAUUUGAGGCCUAUUAUAAACAAUACAAGCAGAUGAUUCAAAUGUAUGUUGCCACACAAUGUCUAUCAGUUAUUUUCACUUUCAAAUUCUCAUCCUGGAAAAGAAUAUCAAAAGGUCUUGAAGAAACUCUGCGUCAGAGGUCUAUUCGUGUAGAUCUAAAUAUUGCCUCCUUCCAACAGUUAUGGGAGAUACUCCUGUUUUAUUUUAUUACAACAUAGUAAAGAAUGCACUAAUCAAAACCAAUGAAAUGGCAUUUAAAAGGAAACCUAGCUAUAAGUGCAGUAGAUAUUAUCUGGGAUCCUUAGAAUGAUAGAUUCAUAAUUCUUCGAAUCUAAAGAAAUAAUUGAUUUGGACACAAAAUAAUAAUGAUGGUUUCUUUCAAUAUGUUUACAGCAUUUUCUGGACUGAAUAAUAAAAAUCUACAAGCAGAUAUUUUUUACUUUCCAGAAAUUCCUUAAAGAGUCAAUAUCAGACAUAGAUAUGGAAAGUUUUUUUUUUUUUUUUUUUUUUUUUUUUUUGCACGGUUAUGUUUCACAUUAGUUAUUUAGAAUCUUUCAGGUUAUAACAAAGCAGAAAACAAUAAAGAAAUGGUGCAAAGUAUGCUGAAAAAUUUUGAAAAAUUGUAUUCCAAUAUAAGCAUAAAGGUUCAUUUUCUACAAAGUAAUUUGAACACAUCUUAAAAUCUAGGACAUAUCUGUAAUACACAAAAAAGAAAGUUCCAUCUGGAUACCAUAGUAAUGAACCAAAAACAUCAAAGUAAAUUUACUGCUUUUUCAUUCAUUCAUUUUGUUUAAAAAAAUUUUCUAACUUGCAUAUAAUAUCCAUUUGUAUACUGAUUUAAAUUUUUGAUUUAUAUAUUGAUUAUUUUUCACAAUAAAGACUG
Long non-coding RNA from Argiope bruennichi, 2352 nucleotides. RefSeq lists it as uncharacterized. The record is from RefSeq and is a predicted model, not a curated record. The transcript is spliced from 5 exons. NCBI's taxonomy places the organism in Eukaryota, Metazoa, Arthropoda, Arachnida, Araneae, Araneidae.